GACGAACGCUGGCGGCGUGCUUAACACAUGCAAGUCGAACGGAAAGGCCCUGCUUUUGUGGGGUGCUCGAGUGGCGAACGGGUGAGUAACACGUGAGUAACCUGCCCUUGACUUUGGGAUAACUUCAGGAAACUGGGGCUAAUACCGGAUAGGAGCUCCUGCUGCAUGGUGGGGGUUGGAAAGUUUCGGCGGUUGGGGAUGGAUUCGCGGCUUAUCAGCUUGUUGGUGGGGUAGUGGCUUACCAAGGCUUUGACGGGUAGCCGGCCUGAGAGGGUGACCGGCCACAUUGCGACUGAGAUACGGCCCAGACUCCUACGGGAGGCAGCAGUGGGGAAUAUUGCACAAUGGGCGGAAGCCUGAUGCAGCAACGCCGCGUGCGGGAUGACGGCCUUCGGGUUGUAAACCGCUUUCGCCUGUGACGAAGCGUGAGUGGCGGUAAUGGGUAAAGAAGCACCGGCUAACUACGUG
Molecule: ribosomal RNA, 468 nt
Filed under: uncultured bacterium
Lineage: Bacteria
Description: partial 16S ribosomal RNA
Rfam family: Bacterial small subunit ribosomal RNA
Source: RNAcentral